GAACUGAAAUGAGAAAAGACCGCUCAAGUCACCUGUCGACUUGGGGGAGAAACGUGUUAUUAAACAUAAAAGGAGGGCACUAGCGAAUCUGGAUUUGCACUUAAAAAGGAAUCUCCUUAUAACCACGGGUCUCCAUUUACAUCAGCUUUAUGUUUUAUAUUAUCUGGUAAAAGGUCCCAGCGCGUGCCAUCCCGGCGCACGGACUGCUCUGAGCUAAAGGCUACCGCGAACCAGCUGACACAGGAGCAGCUCUAAGGACCGAGCUCCAGGGUUCCGUAUUCACAAAGGAAAUGCACUCGGUGUAGGAGGCUCCGCUCCGCUCUCACCAGCUCUCACCGGUGGAGAAGGCGCCCGCUUCCACACGCACCACAGGACUUGCUAAGCGAUCCGUGCUUACCACUGCUCCCCUCGCCUGCCCCCCAGCCCCCGUCCCUCGUGUUAGCCUGGAAUGGUGUGUAAGCGCGGGGUCUAGCCGGCAGCCCUCGGGGUUACUCUUCACCAGGGCAUCUACGUGUACAUGUGUGAUGCACGUGUUAAGCCGUUUUCCUCCUGUUAAUCUGCCUUUUGCCAGUCUGGCUACAGGGCCCCAGCCAGAGAACCUAAGUGCGUAGAGGAAAAAGGUAUUUUUUGUUCCCCUACACUGGUGUGAGAAUUUCCGGUGCUCCCUUGCAUCUUGUAGGCACAGGAAGGGAAAUUUUUAUCUUCGUUUAAAUGAAAACUCAGGAAGUAAAGCCUUACUGUCCCCAAACUGAAUGAUCUGAAUUAGCUGCUCUACUCCAUUAGCUCAGUUAACCUGAUGCCUGGCAGGUCACAGAAGGUGGCUCUUUCCUGUCCUCUACAAAGUUCAAAGGGAUCGGGGAUCUGGUUUUUAAACCUCUGACUACGGAGCGGAUGUGUUCAGAACGCAGGGAUGAGACACCCGGGCUGGAUGAACACAGCUCGGGCAGCGCUGAGUGAGGCCACGUGGGCCGCCAGAAGGGCCUCAGCCGCAGCUCCCGAAACCCCCCCGACUCUGGCAUCUCCUGCCGGGCUCCAGGGAGCCCAGCGUCAGGGACCCAGGACUCCCUCUCAGAGGUGGACUCCUCAGCCAAGCUCACGAGACUAAGGUAUAUACGCCACGAUGCCAGUUUACAAAGAGCCUGGUCCUCUCUGGAAGACGAACGUGCCUGGAAGCGGAACCAGGAGUCCAAUUCGCCCAUCUCCAGAAUGGACGGCUCUGGCAGCGGGACCGUGACGCCAGGAGUCUGCAGGCAGAACCGCCCCUCCUCUUUGGGCGCUUCCACGGCUGACCCCGUGCUCCCGUCAGACUCACAGUGGGGAGCUGUGGCCUCACAGUCCGUCUCUUUCAGGUGGCUUUACGCUGACGUCUAGAACCGGGGAGAAGCCACCCACCAGCAGUGCUGUGGAUUCAGCACAGCGAUCCUGACUUGACUCCCUGUUUUGAUUCCCCAGCAAUUGACUGAGGAUCCCCUGCCCCUUGCAUGAAAACUGCUCCCCCACAGCCUCUCCUGUUUAGAUCUUUAGCUUAGAUUUGAUUUUUAAUCAGCCGUUCUCCAACCAACUGGGUGUUCCAAGGUAGGCGGCCUUCUGACCAGCACGUGAUCCUUGGAUUACAGGUGUUCUUUUGGAAAUUAAAAGCAGGGAGACACUCACUUUGCCAAUGUUAGUGUUGUCCAGGGCUGCGUCCACUUCAUCUAAGACAAAGAACGGAGCGGGCCGAAAACUAGGAAGAAAUUACAAGGAACAGCUUUGGUUUUCGAGAGACCUGGAGAAGAUUAACAGUAUUCAGACUGAACAAGAUCCAUCCCCUUGGAUGCUUCUGCCUCAGUCACCAAGUCACCAGUGGCCCCGACGGUGCCGAAUCCAACGGGCAGUGCUCAGUCGGUGUCCCCCGUGACCUUUGCGGGUGGCAUGGGGGGCUGCCCCCACCUGGCGGCCUGAUGUCACAGAUGACCGUCUGCUCCCCCACCUCCCCCACCGCUCCUUCCAGGUCUCUUCCGCCAGCUCCUCUCCGUGCGGUGCUCGAACGUUUUCACACCGCGGUGCCCUGGGGUACAGUCCAUGGUCCUUCCACGCUAACUGGCUCGCGCGUGGUUUCAUCUCAUCUCUGGGAUUUAAACACCCUCCGUGUACUGAUGGCUCCCACACCCUACCUGCCUCAUGUGCCCAACAGCUUGCCCGACGGUUCCUGGCGGGUGUCUGAUAAACAGCUAAAGCUCAUCCCUGAUCCCGCUCCUCAGCUGCCCCUCCAGACCUGUUCCCUCCCACGGUCUUUUCACUUGAGCUGGUAUGUGUCACCCCUGCCGCCUCCCUCUCACCCCACACCUUGUCUGCUCAGCCGACACUCACGCUGGUCCAGCCCCUCUUCCCCUUUCUCCCUGACGGCUACCACAGUUCCUAUCCCUGUGUCCGCCACUGUUGCAUACGGCCCAUUCACUACGGAUGCCGGCUGUCUCUGGCCUCAGGGCCUUUGCACAUGCUGUUCCUCAUGUCUAGAACAAUCUUCCCUUAGCUACAGCCACACGACUUGCUCCCUUCAUUCCUUCAAACUUUGUUCAAAUGUUGCCUUCUCAAGUAGGCCUUCCAGGGUGACUCUAAUAUUGCAAAUCCCUCCCUGCUAUUUACUGUCUCCAAUUCCCUACUUUAUUUUCUUCUCUAUAGCAUCUGCCAUCUCCUGAUAGUCUCUCUGUCAGAGUUAGUUUACUAAAAUACCUUCUCCUCUGUCUUCCCCAACAAGAAUAACGUAUCUUUGAGGCAAAGAUUUUGUUUUGUUCCCUGCUGACUCUCCGAUGCCUGCACCACCACCCGACACACAGCAGAUCUCUAAUCAGUAUCUGUCGAAUAAAUGGAUGGUGACAGUAAUU
This is a long non-coding RNA of Neofelis nebulosa (Clouded leopard), 2864 nucleotides long. RefSeq lists it as uncharacterized. The record is from RefSeq and is a predicted model, not a curated record. The transcript is spliced from 2 exons. NCBI's taxonomy places the organism in Eukaryota, Metazoa, Chordata, Mammalia, Carnivora, Felidae.